AUUGAACGCUGGCGGAAUGCUUUACACAUGCAAGUCGAGCGGCAGCGCGGCCUUCGGGCUGGCGGCGAGCGGCGAACGGGUGAGUAAUGCAUCGGAACAUGCCCAGUCGUGGGGGAUAACACUUCGAAAGAAGUGCUAAUACCGCAUACGUCCUGAGGGGGAAAGCGGGGGAUUGCAAGACCUCGCGCGAUUGGAGUGGCCGAUGUCAGAUUAGCUAGUUGGUGGGGUAAAGGCCUACCAAGGCGACGAUCUGUAGCUGGUCUGAGAGGAUGAUCAGCCACACUGGGACUGAGACACGGCCCAGACUCCUACGGGAGGCAGCAGUGGGGAAUUUUGGACAAUGGGGGCAACCCUGAUCCAGCCAUUCCGCGUGAGUGAAGAAGGCCUUCGGGUUGUAAAGCUCUUUCGGCAGGAACGAAACGGUGGGCUCUAACAUAGUCCGCUAAUGACGGUACCUGAAGAAGAAGCACCGGCUAACUACGUG
Molecule: ribosomal RNA, 484 nt
Filed under: uncultured bacterium
Lineage: Bacteria
Description: partial 16S ribosomal RNA
Rfam family: Bacterial small subunit ribosomal RNA
Source: RNAcentral